RNAcentral lists this ribosomal RNA (253 nucleotides) under uncultured bacterium. Its description in RNAcentral is "partial 16S ribosomal RNA". It matches the Rfam family "Bacterial small subunit ribosomal RNA", at positions 524 to 776 of the family's 1533-position model. The record is from RNAcentral.
CACGUAAGGGGCGAGCGUUGUUCGGAAUUAUUGGGCGUAAAGGGCACGCAGGCGGUUAUGCAAGUCUGAUGUUAAAUACCUGGGCUUAACUCAGGAGAUGCGUUGGAAACUGCAUGACUAGAGUAUUAGAGGGGGAGUCGGAAUUCCUAGCGUAGGGGUGAAAUCUGUUGAUAUUAGGAAGAACACCGGUGGCGAAGGCGGACUCCUGGCUGAAUACUGACGCUGAGGUGCGAAAGCAUAGGGAGCAAACAGG